GACGAACGCUGGCGGCGUGCUUAACACAUGCAAGUCGAACGGAAAGGCCCUGCUUUUGUGGGGUGCUCGAGUGGCGAACGGGUGAGUAACACGUGAGUAACCUGCCCUUGACUUUGGGAUAACUUCAGGAAACUGGGGCUAAUACCGGAUAGGAGCUCCUGCUGCAUGGUGGGGGUUGGAACGUUUCGGCAGUUGGGGAUGGACUCGCGGCUUAUCAGCUUGUUGGUGGGGUAGUGGCUUACCAAGGCUUUGACGGGUAGCCGGCCUGAGAGGGUGACCGGCCACAUUGGGACUGAGAUACGGCCCAGACUCCUACGGGAGGCAGCAGUGGGGAAUAUUGCACAAUGGGCGGAAGCCUGAUGCAGCAACGCCGCGUGCGGGAUGACGGCCUUCGGGUUGUAAACCGCUUUCGCCUGUGACGAAGCGUGAGUGACGGUAAUGGGUAAAGAAGCACCGGCUAACUACGUG
Molecule: ribosomal RNA, 468 nt
Filed under: uncultured bacterium
Lineage: Bacteria
Description: partial 16S ribosomal RNA
Rfam family: Bacterial small subunit ribosomal RNA
Source: RNAcentral